AUUGAACGCUGGCGGCAUGCCUAACACAUGCAAGUCGAACGGCAGCACGGCAGUAGCAAUACUGUGGGUGGCGAGUGGCGGACGGGUGAGGAAUACGUCGGAAUCUGCCCAGUCGUGGGGGAUAACUAGCCGAAAGGUUAGCUAAUACCGCAUACGACCGAGAGGUGAAAGCGGGGGACCGCAAGGCCUCGCGCGAUUGGAUGAGCCGACGUCGGAUUAGCUAGUUGGUGGGGUAAAGGCCCACCAAGGCGACGAUCCGUAGCUGGUCUGAGAGGAUGAUCAGCCACACUGGAACUGAGACACGGUCCAGACUCCUACGGGAGGCAGCAGUGGGGAAUAUUGGACAAUGGGCGCAAGCCUGAUCCAGCAAUGCCGCGUGUGUGAAGAAGGCCUUCGGGUUGUAAAGCACUUUUAUCAGGAACGAAAAGCGUUGGACUUAAUACUCUGACGUGCUGACGGUACCUGAGGAAUAAGCACCGGCUAACUUCGUG
This 491-nucleotide ribosomal RNA is filed under the name uncultured bacterium. RNAcentral describes it as "bacterial SSU rRNA". It matches the Rfam family "Bacterial small subunit ribosomal RNA", at positions 30 to 507 of the family's 1533-position model. The record is from RNAcentral.